RNAcentral lists this unclassified non-coding RNA (326 nucleotides) under soil metagenome. RNAcentral's name for it is "partial contains 5.8S ribosomal RNA, internal transcribed spacer 2, and large subunit ribosomal RNA". The stretch from base 1 to 120 matches the Rfam family "5.8S ribosomal RNA", at positions 35 to 154 of the family's 154-position model. The record is from RNAcentral.
GAUGAAGAACGCAGCGAAAUGCGAUAAGUAAUGUGAAUUGCAGAAUUCAGUGAAUCAUCGAAUCUUUGAACGCACAUUGCGCCCCUUGGUAUUCCGGGGGGCAUGCCUGUUCGAGCGUCAUUAUAACCCCUCAAGCUCAGCUUGGUGUUGGGGCCUGCCAACUGGCAGCCCUUAAAAUCAGUGGCGGCGCCAUCUGGCUCUAAGCGUAGUAAUUUCUCUCGCUAUAGGGUCCCGGUGGAUGCUGGCCAACAACCCCCAAUUUUCUAUGGUUGACCUCGGAUCAGGUAGGGAUACCCGCUGAACUUAAGCAUAUCAAUAAGCGGAGA